Molecule: ribosomal RNA, 896 nt
Filed under: uncultured crenarchaeote
Lineage: Archaea; Thermoproteati; Thermoproteota
Description: bacterial SSU rRNA
Rfam family: Archaeal small subunit ribosomal RNA
Source: RNAcentral
GCGCUCGCCAGCCAAAGGUGAGUGCGGCGCACAGCUCAGUAGCACGUGGCUAACCUGCCCUUGGGAUAGGGACAACCCCGGGAAACUGGGGCUAAUCCCCAAUAGGCGAAGGCUCCUGGAAUGGACCUUUACCCGAAAGGAUUCUAGCACUAUGCUUGCAGGAUUCGCCCAAGGAUGGGGCCGCGACCGAUCAGGUUGUUUGUGAGGCAACGGCUCACCAAGCCUAUAACCGGUGCGGGCCGUGGGAGCGGUAGCCCGGAGAUGGGCACUGAGACAAGGGCCCAGGCCCUACGGGGCGCAGCAGUCGCGCAAACUUUGCAAUACACGAAAGUGUGACAGGGCUAUCCCGAGUGCCGUCCGCUGAGGAUGGCUUUUACCCAGUCUAGAACGCUGGGGGAAUAAGGAGAGGGCAAGUCUGGUGUCAGCCGCCGCGGUAAUACCAGCUCUCCGAGUGGUGUGGAUGUUUAUUGGGCCUAAAGCAUCCGUAGCUGGCCAAGUUAGUCCCUUGUUAAACCCACCGAAUUAAUCGUUGGCGUGCGGGGGAUACUGCUCGGCUAGGGGACGGGAGAGGCAGACGGUAUUCUCGGGGUAGGGGUGAAAUCCUAUAAUCCCGGGAGGACCACCAGUGGCGAAGGCUGUCGGCUAGAACGCGCCCGACGGUGAGGGAUGAAAGCUGGGGGAGCGAACCGGAUUAGAUACCCGGGUAGUCCCAGCUGUAAACGAUGCAGGCUAGGUGUUUGGGCGGCCACGUGCCGCUCUAGUGCCGCAGGGAAGCUGUUAAGCCUGCCGCCUGGGGAGUACGGUCGCAAGGCUGAAACUUAAAGGAAUUGGCGGGGGAGCACCACAAGGGGUGAAGCUUGCGGUUUAAUUGGAGUCAACGCCGGGAUCUUUCUAGA